Tupaia belangeri chinensis (Chinese tree shrew) is the source of this 725-nucleotide long non-coding RNA. RefSeq lists it as uncharacterized. The record is from RefSeq and is a predicted model, not a curated record. The transcript is spliced from 3 exons. NCBI's taxonomy places the organism in Eukaryota, Metazoa, Chordata, Mammalia, Scandentia, Tupaiidae.
CAGAUCCCCGCUGAGCACGGGCGGAAGGGACCUCGCACCGCCGGGCCGGAGGGCUGGGGGACACUCCCGGACUGUGCUUUUGAGAAUAGGGAACGCCUCGGAGCCACUGCAGCCUGAGACGAGGUGACGAGGUGUGGCAGCGUGGCCUCAGGACCGGGACUCCCCUUGGAUAUUUGUCUCUUGGGCUCUGCUGGAGGAAAGAUUGUAAGAAGUAGAUAAAGAACUCAAGAACAGAAGGAAAUUUCUACAUUAUAAUAAAGCAAAGAGUUAUUUUGUCUUUGAACUGAGGAUCUAUACUGUGACUGUACGCAGUAAGCAUUUCUGAAAAAGAAUAAAAGAGAAAAGAAAAAAAGAAGACGGUCUACCCAAAUCCCUCCUCCUCUCCCAGCCCGGUGAAUGAGACUGUCCCUACACAGGGCUUGUUUUCAUUGGUGUCUUUCCUGAGUUAUCACUCCCAGUCACUUCUGAGGCUUCACUGUAGCGCUUCAAAGAAUUCUAACAAGAUAGAGGUACCUAGCUCUGUUCUUGCAUGGACUAGUUUAUUUGAUACGUUCUCCAUGCAAACACACAUCAUCGUCUUCACAUGCUGCAGAAGGUGGUGGAUGCCAGGCUGUGCCACCAUGCAGAGCCACAGACUGAAUGCCCAAGACACGCUUUCGUUUCUAAUAUUUGAAAUGACUGCUAAUCAUGGCUUGUUUGUAAUUUAGUCAAGUGCAGCAGUGGAG